UACAUACAUAAUAUAUCCUGCAGUAAUAUUAGCAGUUCCCCACUCCAGUUGUCAACACUGGGCAAUAAGGUUACGCAGCGGCGGACAGAACUGACUCAGCUGGAAGCAAUAAAAAAGAACAACAACAGACAAAAAUAACCUCCACUCUCUAAAUAAUUAUGCUGCCCGUCGUCGAGGAGGAUGAUGUGUCUGCUGCUGUUGGGCAAGUCGUUGAUGGAGAAGUCGAGAUUGAGAAGAAGGGUGUCAGUGACU
RNAcentral lists this non-coding RNA (252 nucleotides) under Skeletonema costatum. The record is from RNAcentral. Lineage: Eukaryota; Bacillariophyta; Thalassiosirophyceae; Thalassiosirales; Thalassiosiraceae.